GUACACGCUGUGACUAGCAUAUCAAUAAGCGGAGGAAAAGAAACUAACAAGGAUUCCCUAGUAACGGCGAGUGAAGCGGGAAGAGCUCAAAUUUGAAAUCUUAAAGGGUUUCCCUUUACGAAUUGUAGUUUAAAGAAGUGUUUUCUGUUGAGGUUUUGGUAAAAGUUCUUUGGAAUAGGACAUCAUAGAGGGUGAGAAUCCCGUAUUUGACCUUUACUUUCAACUUUGUGAUACACUUUCAAAGAGUCGGAUUGUUUGGGAAUGCAGUCCAAAAUGGGUGGUAAAUUUCAUCUAAAGCUAAAUAUUGGCGAGAGACCGAUAGCGAACAAGUACCGUGAGGGAAAGAUGAAAAGAACUUUGAAAAGAGAGUUAAACAGUACGUGAAAUUGUCAAAAGGGAAGCGUUUGACACCAGUGUUGUUUUUCUGAAAAUCAAUUAAAGAACUGUUUAUGCUAAGCUGUUUAGACUUUAUCAGCUAUCUGUUUAGUUUUGAGCUUUUCUUUAAUGCACUUUUCAGUUAACAAGUCAACAUCAAUUUCUUUUGCUGUAAAAAAGCUUGAGGAAGGUGGCUUGAGAUUCGUCUUAAGUGUUUAUAGCCUCUUGCCUAUGCAGUCGGAGAGAUUGAGGUCUGCAGCGUAGAUCCUUCGGGGCUAAAUGCAUUUGUGCUAAGUUAUAGCAUUUUAUAGACAACUUGUUGACUAUGAUUUGUCUUGUAGCUUACUCGCUUAUGUUAUUUUACCUACGCUUAGGAUGUUGAAGUCAUCGUAUCGCGC
Molecule: ribosomal RNA, 773 nt
Filed under: uncultured Neocallimastigales
Lineage: Eukaryota; Fungi; Neocallimastigomycota; Neocallimastigomycetes; Neocallimastigales
Description: partial large subunit ribosomal RNA
Rfam family: Eukaryotic large subunit ribosomal RNA
Source: RNAcentral